ACCUAUUGCCAUGCCACCCUGAACAUGCCCAAUCUCGUCUGAUCCCAGAAGCUAAGCAGGGUCGGGUCUGGUUAGUACCGGCAUGGGAGAAAGAGAAAAGGAGUACAAAUUCAUUAGCAU
This is a ribosomal RNA of Nomascus leucogenys (northern white-cheeked gibbon), 120 nucleotides long. The record is from Ensembl. Lineage: Eukaryota; Metazoa; Chordata; Mammalia; Primates; Hylobatidae.